GUCUACAGUUAUACCACCCUGAAUGUGCCUGAUCUUGUCUGAUCUCAGAAGCUAGGCAAGGCUGGGCCUGGUUAGAAGUUGGAUGGGAGAAGAUAAAGUUAACUGUAAAAC
Molecule: ribosomal RNA, 111 nt
Filed under: Jaculus jaculus (lesser Egyptian jerboa)
Lineage: Eukaryota; Metazoa; Chordata; Mammalia; Rodentia; Dipodidae
Source: RNAcentral